UGGCACUUUUCAAAUAGACAAAAAAAUAUACAAGUCAUCUGGAGGCUAGCUAGGGUAUCUUGCUUUGCAGUUUACAUAUACUGUGGACGGUGUGUGUGCUGAGAUCAGAAGCUUGGGCUGGCAUUCGCGUCUCUCAAGUCUGAAUCUACAGCCGUCAGGUCUAGGUCCUUGAUAGUUCACACCGCAGAUUACGGACAUGCCUUUACAAUAACGCACUGUCUAGCUACACUCCCCUUGAUGCCAUAUUGUACUACAGAUCUUUGCAAAAUCUACAAUUUUUUUGUGUAAAACAGCGAUAACUACUGGUUGAAACCAUGAACUAGCAGUCAAAGGUGUGGUAGUUCAAACCACGAACCGGCAGUGAUAGUGCACAUCAUAUCACUGCCAGUUGUUGUGAAGCCAUGAACUGGCAGUGGUGCUCUAUAUCACCGGUGGUUCCAAAAUAAGCUGCAGUGAAUGACUGUAGUAGUGUGACACCGCUACCUCUGCAGAACAUCUAUAGCCGCCUAUUCAGUUGUCUUGUAGUAAUGGGGGUCUAGCUCCACUCCGCUCGAAGCCAUCUUUUGUGACGGAGAUGGUGUGUUGCACAUGGAUGGAGGCGCGUGUGUGCAGUGACCACCUCGAGGCGUGCAAGUGGAACGGGAACUCAGCUGAUGUGGUGGCCUCCAGAUGCUUCUCAAUCCUGAAUGUACUGUUUAAUCUAUGAGAAGAUGCUCUGCAUGCAUUUUGCUUCGUCACACAGCGUGCAUUGGCUUGCAUUAGCUUGUCACAAAGAGCCUCCUAGCAACUAGUAUAUGGGCUCACACAACAUGGAGUAGCUUGGCUUACAUGCACAACAUAACGGUCCUGAAACUACACUACAUAUUGGUGCUUGAGCACAAAAGUAUCAUUUAAGGCUUGUUUGGUGGAGACAUUUGUGCAAUCCAAUAUUAUUGGUACUCUGCAGUUAUAAAAGUAAAACAGUGAACUGACACUUAAAAUAUCAAAAACAUAGAAAGUCCGGACAUUACGGAGCACGGCACAUUCUACAUACUACACAUCCGUUUGCA
Molecule: long non-coding RNA, 1049 nt
Filed under: Sorghum bicolor (sorghum)
Lineage: Eukaryota; Viridiplantae; Streptophyta; Magnoliopsida; Poales; Poaceae
Description: long non-coding RNA (SBIC_LNC002128)
Source: RNAcentral